RNAcentral lists this non-coding RNA (46 nucleotides) under Rhodosorus marinus. The record is from RNAcentral. Lineage: Eukaryota; Rhodophyta; Stylonematophyceae; Stylonematales; Stylonemataceae.
UUAUCAAUUUUUUUUUUUUUUUUUUUUUCCCCGCGGAUUUUUGGUU